ACCCAGGUAAAUCGCUGUCCGCGACGGGACAGCGGGGCCGUCGUUAACCCCUCGGACGGGAGCGCCCUCACUCACGCCCGCCCGCUCCGAAGGCUCCGGUCCCUCAGGCGGGCAUCAGACCCCGCGCCCCCACCUCCCGCUCCCUCACAGCGCGCUGCCCCCGCUCGGCACCGGCCGAGUUUGUGUAAGUGGGGCCGGGCCGUGACUCAGAGCGGCGGGGAGGAGCCGCGACCUGCCGCGGGAGGCCCGGCCCGAGGCGGCUCUUGCCGCCCGCCGAGACACGGUUCGGGGGAUAGAGCCUGACUUAAGAAACGAUAACCCUGCAAUUAAGAAAGCUUCCUGCCAUCUCUGCCUGCCUACAUGGAAAACCCACAAGCCAGAAGUACCAUUUUAAAUCUAUCCCGAUCUUACAAAUGAAAAUUAGAGGUAGUUCCCUAAUGAUACAAGCUGCAAGGUGAUCAGUGGCCUGGAGCACUUCUCUAAAGAGAAGCUGAGAGCGCUGAGGUUGUUCAGCCUGGAGAAGGCUCUGGGGAGACCUUGCUGUGGCCUUCCAGUACUAGGGAGCAUCUCUCAUGAGCAGAGGCUGCAGGAGCUGGGCCUUUUUAGUCCAGAGAAGAAAAGACUGGGAGAAAAUCUCAUUAAUACAUACUGAUGCGUUAAAGGCAGGUGCCAUGGGAAUGGUGCCAGACUCUUUUCAGUGGUGCAUAGCUGCAGGACAAGGAGCAAUGGGCAUAAACUGAAACACAAGAAGCUUCACCUCAGCAUGAGGAAGAACUUCUUCAGGUUGAAAGUGGCAGAGCACUGGAACAGAGGUCAUGGAGUCUCUGUCUCUGGAGAUCUUCAAAACCCAUCUGGAGGAGUUCCUGUGUCAUCUGCUGGAGGUGAACCUACCUUGGCAGGAGAGUUGGACUAGACGAUCUCCACAGGCCCCUUCCAACCCUGUCAAUUGUGUGAUGCUUGAAGUAGGCUCAUAAAAAGAGUGAGAGGGACCUUUUGUGUGGGUGCAUAAUGAUAGGACAAGUGGUAAGGCUUGUAAACUAAAAGAAGAGAGCUUUAGAUGAGAUGUUAGGGAAAAUCCCAUAUUCAGAAGGUGGUAAGGCACUGUAACAGGUUCCUCUCAGCUCUGGAUGUUCCUUCCAUGGAAUUGUUCAAGGCUGAGUUGUAUGUGGCUUUGAUCAACCUGCUCUAGUGGGUGGCAUCCCUACCCGUGGUAAUAGGAUGGAACUGGAUAAUCUUUAAGGCCUCUUCCAACCCAAACCUUUCUGUGAUUCUGUAACACUAUAUCGUUCUUAUUUUUAAAUACCUCACUGUAACUGUGAGAGACUGCUGUGGAGAAUAGUUGAGCAUAGUUCAAUAUGCCACUAUGUUUUCUUCUUCUUUUUUUUUAAGGCUUCAGAUAAAUUAAUUAGAUUGUAAAUGUUUUUGUUAUGGUUUCACAAAAGACUUGAAAUAGGAAUAGAUGCUGGCCUAUUAGGGUAAGAGCUCAUUUAAAUAAAUGUAUAGUAUAAUCUACCAAGUGUAACGGUGUUGUCUCUGAGCUCAGGAAGCAUUCUUUCCAGAGCUCUAUGUAAUUAGAGGAUAAUUUACUGAGAUUUCUAACUAACUAGACUCACAUAAACUAACUCACGCCUAGGUAUGCCAGAGUUAAGGUUUCCCAACCCAGGAUAAAACUGUCAUCCAAAAAUCCACUAAGAAAUAAAACUGAUGUAACACAACUGAGGUUCCUCUACUCCUCCACUUAGGAAGACUGGAAGAAUCAUUGGUUCUUGUACUAUAUCUUGGCACACAUUGAAACUAAAUCUAAACUUUAAGGAGAAGGGAGUACUGCCAUUUCCAGGGACUAUAAUUCCUCCCUCACAUGCUGUUGUUUAUUGGUUUUGGAACUGCAAGAUGAAAUAGUAAGGCCAUAUAAUUCUGUAUUGAAAAUGCUAUGGCAGAGGUGCUUGGUGCUCAGCAGAGCUAGUAACACCAUCCCCACACAGUCUGAGUCCAGAAUCUACUGCCUGGAUGUCUGAGCAUGCAUGUCUCUCUUCGGAGAGCUGUUUUCCAACGUUAGAUCUGGUAUUUCUUUACAUAAAUCCAGGAAGCAGCUUCCAAGUGCUGCUAUUGAGCCUGGGUGCAGAGAUGGAUGUCAUUUGGCUGCUGUCUAGGACAGCAGAGCAGAAGCCAGCUUAGGAAUUUGGUAGAAUUAUCUAGAGGACUUUAGAAAUUGAGAAAUACUUCUCAGUAUUGAGAGGAUACUUCUGUUUAAAUUGUUUGGUCUCAGAAGCAUGGGAAGCAUCAGGCAGCACAGGGAGGAAAGAUGCCCUUAGUGUGAAACCUCUCCUCCUAAGCAGGUCAUUAAGCAGUGAGCCUCUGAAGCACUGCCUCUCGUACAUGCCAAUAGAAUCUGUUUUGCUUCUUUCUGUUGUUGCUCUAAGCAUUUUAAAAGCACUCCAUAAUUAUUUUUGCUGUGAUAAUUAGGUUGAAUCCAAGAUAGCCGUCCAUUUACAUCCCUAUCUCUUAAUCAUUUGAUAAGCUGUUCUAUCACACAGAGUAAGAAGAGAUGGAAGUGUAAAGAUGGCUUAUCACAAGCUCACACUAAUCCUGCUACUCACCCUCUUUGUUCUGGAGGCAUUCUUAGCUCCUGAGAAAUACUUCACCCAAGUGUAAGAGUUAGAGGCACAGCACGUGGACCCAAACACAGCUGACUGACAGAAUAAUUGCAAGGACUGAAGGUAACAUGAGAUUUCACUACCAGCACUUGCUGGUCUUGAAUGUUGUGUCAUUGAUACAGUUGUGCAGAUCCUCUAGUGAAGUUACUAAUAAUUACAACUUUGUAUUUACAGUAGUUAGAGAACACAACAACAUUUGUGCUUAUACUUUUGGUCACAAGUUUUACUCCACAGAAAAAUCGGGCUUUCUAAUGAAAUUCCAGAAAGUUUCUGCUUUCUGUGCCCCUGGGCAUGCCUGCAGCAUCAGAAAGAUAUUUUCUGUUGCAGACAAAAAAUGACCAAGUGUAUCUACAAUGGUAAACCAGACAGCUUUUAGAAGAGCUCUCUUACAGUAGAUUUCUAUGCCAUUUUUUCAUGUUAUGUAUUUUAUCCAUUUGUCCAUAAACGAGUGUACUUUAUGCAAAGAAUUGAAUUACACUCUCCAAUUAUUAGUCACAGGUGUACUACAGAGAGAAAAUCCCUAAGAUAGAAGUGGUUUCAUUUGAAGAAACCCAAGUUACUGUCAACAAACCAGAAUGCUCACUGUAAAUGAAAUGACCUCUGAACUGCCCCAUUUAACACAGAUUUUUCUUCGAUUUGAUCUAGAUACCACCUCAGUAAAACAAACCUAUACCACAUUUGCUUCUUAGCAAGAGAUCUGAUUUCCAGGAAAGGUGUUAGAAGAUAGACAUUUCCCAUUUAAGAAUUAAGAGAAAUACAGGCAUUUUCCAAGUCACGUUAUAUGCCUUAUUGCAGCCAUCAUUCCUUAUCCUCUCUGAGGAACAGGAAAAAAGAAAGUUUGCUUUAAAUCUUCAGAAUGGUACUUCAGAAUUUUCUCUACACAUACCCUAAAACCUUCAUACUAAGAAAGGAAAGCACGCUAAAUGCCUAUGAAAAACCCUUGGUUACUUCUACCUAAAUCAUAUUUCAUCUGAAUGGUAUAAGGCACAUUCAUCCCUUAAUGUUAAAAGAUAUCCCCAAGCUUUUUUUGAGAUACAGUUCUGCAGAUAUUUUGCUGCAACACACAAUUUCCAAUGUAGUACCAUUCUAAAAUCAUUAGGACAGAUAAAUGUUGCAUUUACAUGGAUUGAAUCCAGACACUUGGCUGGACUGGUAACUAAUGCAAGUAUGUAAAUAGAUUGGAAAUUGUGACAUUACCUUUAAGUGUUUGUACUUUGAUAAACAAAAAAAAUUAAAGAUUUCAUAAUCUAUCUUAAUUGGUAUAUUUUGAUUUACCCGUUUCAAGACAACACUUUAAAUAAAGGAAAAUUUGUUUUAAAAGUUAUAUAACAGGAUUUUUUUGAAGAGAUUUACCUAUGACUAUCAUAAGUUAGUGAUUUAUGAGACAAACCAAAAUAAGUUCACUGCCCCUUUAAUAAAAUUAUUUUUCCUCUUUAAAAGCAGAUUUGGUUAUCUAUGAUCCAUUGUAAGGGCCUGACAGUAAUUUUGAGAAUACAUUAAUUCACUGUGCUCCAAAAGUCAGUCCUCUCACAGUCUGCAAUUUCUCAUGCACUGUAAAAUGUCACAGGUCAGCACUGCUAGCAAAAGAAGUAAUCUUGCCUUCCUCCACCCAUUCUGUUCCUCCCUACAUUUCCAUCUUCCCUGAUCUAUACAGCUGUUCAAUAAAUGAGAUCAGUUCCACGAUCCAGCUUAAAAUUAACCCCCCCUUUUUUGUGCUUACAUUUAACAUGGAUCAGUUUUUUGAUCUGCUUCACCUGCCACCACAUAAAUCCUUACUCUGGCACAGGAGAGGGAGCAGCAUGAGGGCAAGAAUGAACUGGGGUACCAUAAAUUAGCAUAGAGAAUAUAUAAAGCAGAAAAUAUAAUUUAAAAAAUGGCUUUUAACAGAUAGGCAUCUAGAAAGAAUUGUACUCUGUUGCUUUUGCGGGUGGUUUUUUGGGUUUUUUUGAGAUUAUGAGCCCAAAACACACAAUAUAUUAUCUGAGAACAUGCCUAUGUCCUCUUAAGGUCCUUACCUUUUCUCUUUGUGCUUUAAAGACACAGAGCUGAACCAUGGACUUGUGCUGUAAAUCCUUCAAACUGUGUCUUUGGGGAGGAGGAAAGCAACUGACAACUUAGGAAAAAAUCUUUCCUUCUGACAGAAUCAAGACAAGACCUCCUUCCUUCUCCACAGGCUGCUAGUUUUGCAGGAUAGAAAUUUUUUCUGUCUCUUAUAGAUUUCUUUCAGAUUUGCUAAACCAUCUUUGCCAGAGAAGAUUUAUGUCUGAACCAUAGCAAAUCCCUUACCUUAAGAAUACAGCUGGAGGAUAUUUAAGAAAAAUACAUCCCUAGAGGCUGAGUAGCAGUAGACAUGUAAAGGCUCAGUCCUCCUCUUCUAAUUACAAGUUGUACUCCAAGGUCCAGGGGAAGAUUUGUCCAAGAACUACAUAACACAUUUUUUAGUGAAAAUUAGGUUAUCAGCAUUACUCUGCCGUACUGGUUAUAAAAACUGUGAUUAUAGCAAACAUGGCAUUUGAGCAAAUAGAGCCAAAGCAUUUUUCUGUAACUAUCUGUGUCACAUCAUAAUCAAUAGUAAAAAACAUCCAUGUUUUCUAGCACUACCCCCUCAAAAUUCAUGUCUGAAAACCUGAAUUUAAUAAUUUAAUUGUUUCAGAUUUGUAAAAAAAAAAAAGAAUGUUGACAGUUCACCAGCAGGGAAAAUGUUAGUAGGCCACAACAGCAGUGCUGCACACUGGGUCAAAUACAAGGCUUCUUCCUAGCUAAUUAUGAUGCAAUCUGUGGAGAUUCCCUAGAGAAGAACUUGCUUAUUAAUACCUACCCAGUGUUCUCUGUUUCCAUAACAUCUCCCUUAGUAUUCACCAUUAUAUUGCCCUUCCAAAGUCACACCUCUCUCUGCUUUCAUAAAAAUUUCUACUUUGUCCUCCUGAUAGACCUUGCGGUAGACUCUAAUCGCUGAGCUACUGACAAUGGGGAAUAGGUUAACCAUGAUAUGGGAAAAUCCCAAAUCCCACAAUCUGAGUUACACAAAGCCUAUCUACCAAAUGUGAAAUCAGUCAUACUGGAAUUUUGCAAUUCUUUAAUAAUUGUAUUUAAUUUUUAAUUUUUUUCUGAGCUAGUAUAAAUUUUCAUCUCUUGGAAACUGAGGGAAGAAAAAAUAAAUUGUCAUACCGUACAAGCCCCCUGCUCUCUGAAUCCAAUGACUGUGCAGCUGCAUGCCUGGGAUGCAGAGACAAAGAGGCAUGGAAGUUCAUAUAAGCUGGCAUGUCUCUCUUAUAUUACUUGAAAUACAAUGAAAUAAUAUUAAGAAGCAUUCUUGUAUGAGUAUGUGAAUGCUGAUUUUCUCUGUGAAUAGGCUAAUGCUAGACAGGAGAUGAACCAUUCAGCUGCAAGGCAAAAAAAUCUAAAAAUCAGAGAGUAGUUGUUAGUAGUGUUUUGUUUCUCUGCAAGGACUUUUUUGUUCCUUGCUUUGGUCUGCAGUAAAGUGAUUCUUCUGCAUUUUCAGAUAUUUGCAUGGCCGGUAGCUGUUACUUUCUACAGAGAAAAUAAGAGACAGAAGUAAGACUUGCCAGGGAAGAAAGCUUUGCUUUGCAUUUCUUGCAAAUGCAAGGAUAUACAGAAAAUAAAGGUUUAUUUCCUGAAAACUGAGUUGGUUUUAAUGUUUUGCAUUGUAGCUUAUUUUCUCUUCAGAGUUUGUGGGUGACAAGAGUUAAGAAUCUUAAGUAUAAAGUUUUUGCAAAAUAUUUUGAAAAAAUUGUUUUUUAACUUUUUUGCCAAUAAUUUGAUUUAUUCCAAAUAAAUACUUAGUUCAAGAGAAAAGCUGAGCACCCAUCUUUGUGUGCAAUUAAACACUUCAAACUCUCAGAGUAGACAGCUGGAGACAGACAAAGUCUCCAGAAUGACUACCAGCCAAAUCACACAUGUAAAACCCUAUAUUUUAAGGUUUCUCCUUGUUCUGCAAGGUGUUCAAUAGGAAGUUUACUGAAAUUCUCAUAAAUUUGCUGAAUUAGAGGUCAAUGGCUGUUGGAGAUUUAGGGGUCAAGUAUCUGCAUUGGUAGGUGCCUAAAUUAUUUGAAAUAAAAUCCCGUUGGGAUAUUUUUCAAAAGCAUCUAGCAGGUGAGAAGCACUCAUAACCCUUUGCAUUUUAAAAUCAUUGGAUAAAAUACCAAGACCAAAUUCCAAGUCUCUUUCUCACCCUUUGAGAGUUAGUUCCUAGCUGCCAGCUGAUACAAUCAUCCUUCUUUUGCUUACUCUUCCAGGAUUGUGCUCUUUGCAGUAUAGUACUCCAGCUCCAAAAGACUCCCUAAUUUCUCACUUUGCAGAAAUUGAUGGGUAAAAAAUAUUGAUGCAAGGAAGGGAAGGCUGCCACUCUAUGGCCGUGCACAUAAACUACAGCUUUAGUUCCACUGCAAUAAAUUGUACUGGAGGAGUUUCUGGGAAUGAGUGAGAGAACAUCUGGGCUUCAUGUCCUACAACGCGAGUAUGAAUACUUUAGAAGAGGACAAAGGAAAAAUCUACCAUAUUGUGUGCAAGAAGCAUGCUGACAUUUCAAUAUUCCUUCAACUCAACAGCUCAGAGUACAAUCACAACAAGAAAAGCAACAUGUGUACCCACGAAUAGCCAGAGAUUAAUUUCACUGGAUUUUCCAGUGAAAAGGAAGUGUGAAAUUGUUUGUCCAGGUACAAAUUUGGUGCAUGACCACAUCAUUGACUUUCAGAAUACAAAAGCUUUGUUAGAAUCCUGAAGGUUUGUGGAAUAAAGUUGUGACUGAGAAAGCUGUUUCAGGACCGAUAGGUUGUUCCUGGCUCCAGCACAGUGCUGAACACAUGGCUUUUGUAAAAGCAUCCCAGAAACUCCUUCUAACACUCUUUUCCUUAUUUUCCAGACCAUUGAACUCUCACUGAUCGGGAAUUGAACACUGUAGAGAUCCUUUAAACAGCUUCUGGCAUUUAGACAGCAUUGGGAGGAGGGGAGUUCACAGUAGACAUAAAAGAUCUUUUUCUGUGAAGCAGUUCAUGAAUUGAUAAAGUUAUCUUGAGAUAAGGAUUUAGGGAAUUUUGUCAAUAAAGACAAUUUACUUAGUCAAUGGGAACAAUCAUAAAGAGUGCAGAAAGCA
Passer domesticus (house sparrow) is the source of this 7767-nucleotide long non-coding RNA. RefSeq lists it as uncharacterized. The transcript has 4 exons. NCBI's taxonomy places the organism in Eukaryota, Metazoa, Chordata, Aves, Passeriformes, Passeridae. The record is from RefSeq and is a predicted model, not a curated record.